Molecule: non-coding RNA, 98 nt
Organism: Acanthosepion pharaonis
Lineage: Eukaryota; Metazoa; Mollusca; Cephalopoda; Sepiida; Sepiidae
Source: the annotation of a GenBank genome assembly
UUGAAAUACCAAUCCCUAUACGAUCACCGAGGUUAAGCAACGUCGAGCGUUUUCAGUACCUAGAUGGGUGACCGCUUGGGAAUACCUGGUGUAGUAAG